CGAACUGUGGAUGAGCAACAGA
RNAcentral lists this microRNA (22 nucleotides) under Heligmosomoides polygyrus. Its description in RNAcentral is "hpo-miR-10032-5p". The record is from miRBase by way of RNAcentral. Lineage: Eukaryota; Metazoa; Nematoda; Chromadorea; Rhabditida; Heligmosomidae.